Molecule: long non-coding RNA, 644 nt
Organism: Strigops habroptila (Kakapo)
Lineage: Eukaryota; Metazoa; Chordata; Aves; Psittaciformes; Psittacidae
Exons: 2
Source: RefSeq, a predicted model, not a curated record
CACACCAAGCUGUAGACAAGGCAUUCUGAUGCCAUUGUGAAAGAAGCUGCUCGAGGUCCAUGUGUGUGCUGGUGCGAGGUGCCUGAGGUACAGCUCAGGUACAGCUGUGCUGUUUGUCGUGUUAGUUAAUCAGGAAGUCUCAUUGUAGGAGGUUUAAGUGCUUAUGGUAGAGUUGAAUAAGUGCUCGGAUUUUGUUUCUUUUCCUUGAGAUUUGUGUUAGGGAAAAUACUCUUUGUUUUCCCAAGUGGAAAGGAAUUGAUAGAGGAAUGUUGUGUACAGGCAAACCCCGGCCUGGGAGCUGCCCACAUCUCUCCUGUGCCCCUUUAGCCUCACUACCAAUGCAAGGAUUUUGCUCCAGAGCCUCCUUAGAGCCCAGCAGAGGUUUCUCCUUUGCAAAUCAGGGGAUUAAGAACCGUAGAAGUGAAUACUGGGGAUGGAGUUGGCUCUUGCUUGGUCGGAGGUGGUGUUGGAAGUGAGGUACCUGCGGGGUUUGCUCUUAGCCCUUGUGAGCCCUUGCUCAGGGAGCAAAUCCCAUGCUAGGGAGGGGAAGAGCUGUGGGUUUCUAGCACUGCUGGGUCUUGGGUCUCCACCAUCACCAUCUAAUAAUUUCCCUUUGUAUAAACUGUCCUUGGCUCACUUGCAAA